RNAcentral lists this long non-coding RNA (332 nucleotides) under Homo sapiens (human). RNAcentral's name for it is "PREDICTED lncRNA (TCONS_00130689)". Lineage: Eukaryota; Metazoa; Chordata; Mammalia; Primates; Hominidae. The record is from RNAcentral.
CGGAAGAAGGGGACACAGACCUGCGUCCAAGCUGUGCCACCUGAGACGUGGGCGGUCCCAGUGACCGGGAGCCGGAGCUCGAACGGGACGGGCGAACAGAAGCGCGGAGGGCUUCGCAGCGUCGGCGUCUGUGCGUGGGCCAAACAUCAGGGCCUCGACCAGGGAUACAAGGGCAACCGCUAACUAGAUUCCUGAUUCCUGAUGGCUGGCGGCGGCUGACACCAAAGUGCCCGUGGGAGAGCAAGAUCGCGAGGCACGAGCUGUGAGGGCACACCGCCUCUCUUGGUCCUCCGAAGCAAAGACACUGAUGCUCCCAGAAGCUGCGGAAGGAC